UUUUAAGGUACUUUUAAAGCUGUUUAAACUGUUCAGAAUAAAACUUUUCAUGCUAGAUAGAUGCCUCAAACUUAGAGGUUUUUGAAUAGUUUUAGGACAUAGUCUUUUAGUCAUCUCUAGGAAAGAGAUUAAGGAAAAAUCCAUUUUCCCUCCUAUUAAUUCUUAAAAAAUUGGGGGAAGGUUUUGUAUUAUAAAGGACUCAAUUUGUGAAGGGAUUAGUGUCUUUCUGCUUGUGCAUUGUGUUACUGUGACACUGUUCAAAUAAUGUUUGACUAGGUAGCUUAAAUGUAAUUUCUCUUUAAUAUAAACAUUUGUGUGGUAUUUCUUAUAUUCAUUUGCUUUUAGAUUGACACUUCUACAUGAGUUCUCUUAUAAGACUGUAUUGAAGGGAAGGUUCUUUCUUGGUUUCUUAAAAAAAUCCCAGACAGAAAAAUAGAUACAUGAAAUAGGUUAUUUUGUUUAGCUUGAAAAUCUGCCAUAGACUUCAGAGUAAAGGUUGGUAAAGAGAUAAACUUCAACUGAUGUGGGUAAUAAGUCUGAACUUUAAUUUGUGAUCCUGAAGAAGUGUUGAAAUUCCAAAAGUGGAAUAGUCGUCUUUAUUAGUUUUGGCUUUCAGUGAGCAACCUAGAAGAGAAUAUGUUUGUCUACAGUGUAUGUAUACUACAGUGUUUGUAUGCUAUAUACAUAGAUGUUUGUAACUCUUGCUUUCACAGGAUUAGAACAUGUGGUUGAAAUCAGAUUUGAAGGAAGAAAAGAGCCACAUUACGAGUGCAAGCUGUGUGGGUUUAAUACAGAGAUGGCACCUAUGAUAGAACAUCUUAGUGGAUAUAAACACAGAAGAGCAUACAUUUCUAAAGAAUUUCCAGAUAAAAUGAAGAGAAAGACAACAGAUGUAAAAGAAUGCAAAGUCUCAUUUCUCAGACGGAUAGCAGGAGAGAUAGAGAAGACUGAAGGAUUAAAAAUGUAUGAGAUUGAAGGUUACAUAAGACCAAGUACCUCACCCCCAUCAAAGAAGAAAGCAAGGUGGGAAGAUGAUUAUAAGCAUGUGAAUGAUCCCGUUCAGAAACAGAAAGCUCUAGAGUUCUUGGAGACUUUUCACAUCACCUCAGACUCAGAAGCAACACUUGUCAUUCACAUUACACAGGAACUCACAGAAGCUUUGAAGGCCUUUUGUGAAAAGAAAGCAGCAAUUAAUUAUGCUAAUAGUCUGAGGCCACUGAUGUCAGUAUCUCAAGAUGAAUUUCCAUCAAGGAAAAGCAUCCAAAACCACCAUAAGCCAUAUGGAAAAUCCAAAGGAAAUUCUAACUGGAAUCAAGUUUUUUUGUCUCAGUAUGAACAGUGUACUGCAAAUGCUUCAUUUGCUCCUGCUAACUCAUACGGUUACCAAACAGAUGAUGGAUCAUCUUCCUAUGGACUAAGACCUAAUGACUUUGCAAUGAUGUCUGCACUUAGUGACUCUUUCGCUCUUCAGACUGGAAGUCCUCCCAGUGGUGUCGAUGAAUGGCUGAGACAGUUCGGUGGAUCUGCCUCUGACAGUAAUUCAGCUGAUGGGACCUCUACCUAUGAGACAAAUUCAGUGAUUGUUCUUACAGAGAUUUCCAGCAAUGCAGACGCUCGGAUAAGAUGUUUGAUGAAGAUGCUGUUGGUCUUACUCCCAACAUUUUGA
Apteryx haastii (Great spotted kiwi) is the source of this 1666-nucleotide long non-coding RNA. NCBI's taxonomy places the organism in Eukaryota, Metazoa, Chordata, Aves, Apterygiformes, Apterygidae. The record is from Ensembl.